ACGGGAGGCAGCAGUGGGGAAUAUUGCACAAUGGGGGAAACCCUGAUGCAGCGACGCCGCGUGAGCGAAGAAGUAUUUCGGUAUGUAAAGCUCUAUCAGCAGGGAAGAUAAUGACGGUACCUGACUAAGAAGCUCCGGCUAAAUACGUGCCAGCAGCCGCGGUAAUACGUAUGGAGCAAGCGUUAUCCGGAUUUACUGGGUGUAAAGGGAGUGUAGGCGGAAGGCUAAGUCUGAUGUGAAAACCCGGGGCUCAACCCCGGGACUGCAUUGGAAACUGGUUUUCUAGAGUAUCGGAGAGGUAAGUGGAAUUCCUAGUGUAGCGGUGAAAUGCGUAGAUAUUAGGAGGAACACCAGUGGCGAAGGCGGCUUACUGGACGAUAACUGACGCUGAGGCUCGAAAGCGUGGGGAGCAAACAGGAUUAGAUACCCUGGUA
Molecule: ribosomal RNA, 434 nt
Filed under: uncultured Lachnospiraceae bacterium
Lineage: Bacteria; Bacillati; Bacillota; Clostridia; Lachnospirales; Lachnospiraceae
Description: partial 16S ribosomal RNA
Rfam family: Bacterial small subunit ribosomal RNA
Source: RNAcentral